Molecule: non-coding RNA, 148 nt
Filed under: Gorilla gorilla gorilla (western lowland gorilla)
Lineage: Eukaryota; Metazoa; Chordata; Mammalia; Primates; Hominidae
Source: Rfam by way of RNAcentral
GCCGGGCGUGGUGGCGUGUGCCUGUAAUCCCAGCUACUCAGGAGGCUGAGGCAGGAGAAUCGCUUGAACCUGGGAGGUGGGGAUUGCAGUGAGCUGAGAUCGCGCCACUGUACUCCAGCCUGGGGUACAGAGAGAGACUCUGUCUCAA